AUGGAUCUAAUCUGCCAAAACUUUACUCCCCCUGAUGCGGCAGCAAUUAUUAACAUUCCUUUACGGGUGGUAGGCGGUGAGGACACUUUAGCAUGGGCUUUGGAAAGGUCAGGACACUACACUGUAAAAUCGGCGUAUCGAUCUCUCAUGACUCGUAACGAGCUUAGUUAUCUAGAGGAAGGGACGGUAACGGAGGCAUCACCGAACAACAAACAGUUGUGGACUGCCCUUUGGAAGCUCAAUGUGCUACCAAAGAUCAGAGUAUUC
RNAcentral lists this ribosomal RNA (267 nucleotides) under Triticum aestivum (bread wheat). RNAcentral describes it as "partial small subunit ribosomal RNA". Lineage: Eukaryota; Viridiplantae; Streptophyta; Magnoliopsida; Poales; Poaceae. The record is from RNAcentral.